RNAcentral lists this ribosomal RNA (483 nucleotides) under uncultured bacterium. RNAcentral's name for it is "bacterial SSU rRNA". It matches the Rfam family "Bacterial small subunit ribosomal RNA", at positions 28 to 507 of the family's 1533-position model. The record is from RNAcentral.
GACGAACGCUGGCGGCGUGCCUAACACAUGCAAGUCGAGCGGAGCCAAUCAAACAAUCCCUUCGGGGUGCGUUUGAGGAAGCUUAGCGGCGGACGGGUGAGUAACGCGUGAGUAACCUGCCCAUAAGAGAGGGAUAACACAGAGAAAUUUGUGCUAAUACCUCAUAUUGAGUUUUAAUCGCAUGGUUUCAACUUGAAAGAUUUAUCGCUUAUGGAUGGACUCGCGUCUGAUUAGCUAGUUGGUAAGGUAACGGCUUACCAAGGCGACGAUCAGUAGCCGAACUGAGAGGUUGAUCGGCCACAUUGGGACUGAGACACGGCCCAGACUCCUACGGGAGGCAGCAGUGGGGGAUAUUGCGCAAUGGGGGAAACCCUGACGCAGCAACGCCGCGUGAAGGAAGAAGGUUUUCGGAUUGUAAAACUUCUGUUCUUAGGGAAGAAGACAGUGACGGUACCUAAGGAGCAAGCCACGGCUAACUACGUG